RNAcentral lists this long non-coding RNA (230 nucleotides) under Elaeis guineensis (African oil palm). Its description in RNAcentral is "long non-coding RNA (EGUI_LNC079083)". Lineage: Eukaryota; Viridiplantae; Streptophyta; Magnoliopsida; Arecales; Arecaceae. The record is from RNAcentral.
CCUUCCUCCGGCUGUACUCCAUGAUCCCCUUCACGUGAAGAUUCCGAAAGUGGGUGGCCUCCACGGUGGCUUCAGAGUGGCUCUCCCUCAACCUGUGGAGUUCGCCUUCCAUCUUCUUCGAUCUUUUCGUUAAAUGAAGAACCUCCUUCUUCAGGCGCUGGAUCAUGGACUUCAGCGGAAUCCCCUAAGGCAAGGAAAGCGCUUCGACAGGGCGCUGCCAUCGGGAGGUC